RNAcentral lists this ribosomal RNA (440 nucleotides) under uncultured bacterium. RNAcentral describes it as "bacterial SSU rRNA". It matches the Rfam family "Bacterial small subunit ribosomal RNA", at positions 338 to 795 of the family's 1533-position model. The record is from RNAcentral.
CCUACGGGUGGCUGCAGUGGGGAAUAUUGCGCAAUGGGGGCAACCCUGACGCAGCAACGCCGCGUGAAGGAAGAAGGCCUUCGGGUUGUAAACUUCUUUGAUCGGGGACGAAACUGACGGUACCCGAGGAACAAGCCACGGCUAACUACGUGCCAGCAGCCGCGGUAAUACGUAGGUGGCAAGCGUUGUCCGGAAUUACUGGGCGUAAAGGGCGUGUAGGCGGGGCGGCAAGUCAGGUGUGAAAUCCCGGGGCUUAACUCCGGAGCUGCAUCUGAAACUGCUGUUCUUGAGUGCUGGAGAGGGAAGCGGAAUUCCUAGUGUAGCGGUGGAAUGCGUAGAUAUUAGGAGGAACACCAGUGGCGAAGGCGGCUUCCUGGACUGUAACUGACGCUGAGGCACGAAAGCUGGGGUAGCGAACAGGAUUAGAUACCCCGGUAGUC